This 425-nucleotide ribosomal RNA is filed under the name uncultured bacterium. Its description in RNAcentral is "partial 16S ribosomal RNA". It matches the Rfam family "Bacterial small subunit ribosomal RNA", at positions 354 to 796 of the family's 1533-position model. The record is from RNAcentral.
GUGGGGAAUAUUGGGCAAUGGGGGAAACCCUGACCCAGCAACGCCGCGUGAAGGAAGAAGGUUUUCGGAUCGUAAACUUCUAUCCUUGGUGAAGAUAAUGACGGUAGCCAAGAAGGAAGCCCCGGCUAACUACGUGCCAGCAGCCGCGGUAAUACGUAGGGGGCAAGUGUUGUCCGGAAUGAUUGGGCGUAAAGGGCGCGUAGGCGGCCUGGUAAGUCUGGAGUGAAAGUCCUGCUUUUAAGGUGGGAAUUGCUUUGGAUACUGUCGGGCUUGAGUGCAGGAGAGGUAAGCGGAAUUCCCGGUGUAGCGGUGAAAUGCGUAGAGAUCGGGAGGAACACCAGUGGCGAAGGCGGCUUACUGGACUGUAACUGACGCUGAGGCGCGAAAGUGUGGGGAGCAAACAGGAUUAGAUACCCGAGUAGUCC